This 258-nucleotide unclassified non-coding RNA is filed under the name Glomus sp. Its description in RNAcentral is "partial contains 5.8S ribosomal RNA and internal transcribed spacer 2". The stretch from base 1 to 72 matches the Rfam family "5.8S ribosomal RNA", at positions 84 to 154 of the family's 154-position model. Lineage: Eukaryota; Fungi; Glomeromycota; Glomeromycetes; Glomerales; Glomeraceae. The record is from RNAcentral.
GUGAAUCAUCGAAUUUUUGAACGCAAAUUGCACUCUCCGGUUUUCCGGGAGAGUAUGCCUGUUUGAGGGUCAGCCUAAAAAAAAUCGACAUUGCUGCUGUUAUUUAAUGGUGACUUUCGUCGGAGAUUGGGUUAUCUUAAACCUUUUUUUUUUUUUGGUUUAAAGCGCUUAAAAUUUUUUUUUCCGAUUUCAUUAAACGUUUUAAGGUUUUUUUUUUUUUUAAGUUUUAGGGUUUAUCAUUUUUUUUUUAAAGUUGCC